CCUACGGGUGGCAGCAGUAGGGAAUUUUCCACAAUGGGGGCAACCCUGAUGGAGCAACGCCGCGUGCAGGAUGAAGGCCUUCGGGUUGUAAACUGCUUUUGUCUGUGACGAAUAUGACGGUAGCAGACGAAUAAGGAUCGGCUAACUACGUGCCAGCAGCCGCGGUCAUACGUAGGAUCCAAGCGUUAUCCGGAUUUACUGGGCGUAAAGAGUUGCGUAGGUGGCAGAGUAAGUUAGUAGUGAAAUCGUGUGGCUCAACCAUACAUCCAUUACUAAAACUGCUCAGCUUGAAGAUGAGAGAGGUCACUGGAAUUCCAAGUGUAGGAGUGAAAUCCGUAGAUAUUUGGAGGAACACCGAUGGCGUAGGCAGGUGACUGGCUCAUUCUUGACACUAAGGCACGAAAGCGUGGGGAGCAAACGGGAUUAGAUACCCCUGUAGU
This 440-nucleotide ribosomal RNA is filed under the name uncultured bacterium. RNAcentral describes it as "bacterial SSU rRNA". It matches the Rfam family "Bacterial small subunit ribosomal RNA", at positions 338 to 794 of the family's 1533-position model. The record is from RNAcentral.